RNAcentral lists this ribosomal RNA (258 nucleotides) under uncultured bacterium. RNAcentral describes it as "partial 16S ribosomal RNA". It matches the Rfam family "Bacterial small subunit ribosomal RNA", at positions 793 to 1055 of the family's 1533-position model. The record is from RNAcentral.
GUCCGCACCGUAAACGAUGAUUACUCGAUGUUUGCGAUAUACAGUAAGCGUCCAAGCGAAAGCGUUAAGUAAUCCACCUGGGGAGUACGCCGGCAACGGUGAAACUCAAAGGAAUUGACGGGGGCCCGCACAAGCGGAGGAGCAUGUGGUUUAAUUCGAUGAUACGCGAGGAACCUUACCAGGGCUUGAAAGUUAGUGAUCGUCUCCGAAAAGAGAUUUUCCGCAAGGACACGAAACUAGGUGCUGCAUGGCUGUCGU